This is a long non-coding RNA of Glycine soja, 1271 nucleotides long. RefSeq lists it as uncharacterized. The transcript is spliced from 4 exons. The record is from RefSeq and is a predicted model, not a curated record. NCBI's taxonomy places the organism in Eukaryota, Viridiplantae, Streptophyta, Magnoliopsida, Fabales, Fabaceae.
GAAGUUGAGAGAUAUGCAGCACGUUUCCUUUUUUCUUUGUUCAUGCAGCGUCGCUUUUAAUAGAGACUUGAAACGCGUUAGGGUUUUGUUUCGAUUGCGAGUGUGGGGGAAUCAAUUGCUGUCGUGAAAGGGUGGACUUCCUGACGCGUAGGUGUAGAUGGCGAGAACUUUCUGCUUUGGAUAUCGACGGUGUGGUUCAUGCGUUUUCUUGGGUUCUUGUUGUAAUGGAGUUUGAAGACAACACAGUUUAGUGAAAGUGAAAUUGAAGACAACGGUGCGGUCCUAGGAAAAGGUGCUCCAUUUAGGGAUUGGUGCAGACUUUAAGAGCAAUGAGAGUUGGUGAUGAAAAUCGAUUCUGCUUGAGACACUUGUAUUAAAAUUUCAAGAAAAAGUUUGGUGGAGGCACACAUUUGAGAGACCUAAUGAUAGGGGUGGCUAAAGCAGAUGCAAGCACAAUUGCUAAUAGGAACCAAGUUGAUGAGAACCAAGAUGCUUCUGUUUCCAACCAAGGUCCGUUGGGUCAGUGACAAAUGUCUGAAAAUGAUUCUUCUGCCAAUGUCGAAAAAACUCAGGUAAAUAACAAGAGAAAAAAUGCGACAACAUGAAAGAAUGAUAAGGGAAAAAAUGUUCCAACUACUAGUAAGGCUUCAACAACAUCAAAUGACAAUAGGGAAAAAAACACAAACUUCUACAACAACACCAAAGACUAGGAAGCAAAUGACAACUACUAUCCAAAAAACCAUACUUUUGUCCAAAGAAACCCAAUUGCACCAACCAAUAGAAAGGCUAACUCAAUACCAUCAACUAACUUAGCACCAUCACCAUUUGUAUCUUCAUCAACACCAAUCCCCAACAAGCUUCAACCACCAUCAUCAACCAUUUUUGGAGAAGCACCAAAAACCAGGAAGCAAAUGAGACCACCUGUUCAGAAUGUAUUUCCUAAGAAAAUAUGGUGAAACCAACAAGGUAGAUGUUAAAGUUCAGCCUAAAGCCCAAGCUUUUAAGCCUCCAAGACCAACCAAUAAGGUAUCUACACAAGAUUGAAUCUGUCUCAAGAAGUCACCAACAAUUCAAAAAAGUCACCAUGAAAGAUUUAGUUUGUUAAUGUGUGCUUAUUUAGUCCCAUAUUUAUGUAUGUAAAGUGCCUUUGAGAAAUUGGUUUUUGAGACACCAUGUUUAAUCACAAGUUUAUGUAUGUAUAGUGCCUUUGAGACACUAUUUUUUGAGACACCGUAUUUAGUCCCAAGUUUAUGUAUGUAAAGUUCUGUUUA